Molecule: long non-coding RNA, 4214 nt
Filed under: Octopus vulgaris (common octopus)
Lineage: Eukaryota; Metazoa; Mollusca; Cephalopoda; Octopoda; Octopodidae
Source: RNAcentral
CGUGAGCGUACUUUACUUGAUAAGUAACAGUUCGAUCGAGUAUGAGUGCGGGCUGUUUUGUUUGGUGUUGGAAGUAGCGAUGGCGGUGGGUACCUGCCUGACUAUAUUUACACGCACGUAGAUGUCUGCAGAAUUCUCUCUGCCACUGGCAGACCAUACCUUCGCAGUUGAGUGACUUUUCCCCUUUUUUUUUUAAUAUUUGUGUGUUUUUUUUAUCCGUCAUUGUUAUUAUUAUCAUUUAUUAUUAUCAUUAUUAUUAUUAUUAUUAUUAUUAUUAUUAUUAUUAUUAUUAUUAUUAUUAUUAUUAUUAUUAUUAUCAUUAUUAUUAUUGUUAUUAUUAUUGUUAUGUAAUCGACUUAACCACCCCCUUCCCGAAGUUAAUGGUCUUGUGCCAAAAUUUGAAAUCAUCCUCUCCUCAUCCUCCUCCUCAUCAUCAUCAUCGUCAUCGUCGCCGUCGUCAUCGUCGACGUCGUCAUUAUCAUCAUCAUCAUCAUCAUUUGUUAAUUUUUUUAAAAAUAUUUUUAUAUCGUAUUCUAUUAUUGCUUACUAUUAUUAUUAUUAUUAUUAUUAUUAUUAUUAUUAUUAUUAUUAUUAUUAUUAAUAUUGGCCUUGUCAUCAUCAUCGUCGUCGUCGUUGUCAUUAUUGUCAUCAUCAUUAUCAUCAUAAUCAUCAUCAUCAUCGUAAUCGUUACCACCCCCAUCGUCGUCGUCAUCGUCGCCAUCCCCGUCAUCGACGAGGGAUGACGACGCGGCAUCAACGUGUUCGUUUUACAACAAUCACAUCAACACCAAUGGCAACGGCGAUCUAAACAAACCAAACCAAACCAAAUCUACUACUACUACUACUAAUACUAAUACUACUAAUAAUAAUAAUAAUACUAAUACUAAUACUACUAAUACUAAUACUACUAAUACUACUAAUACUAAUACUAAUACUACUAAUACUAAUACUACUAAUACUAAUACUACUAAUACUACUAAUACUAAUACUAAUACUACUAAUACUACUAAUACUAAUACUAGUAAUACUAAUACAACCUAUACUAAUACUACUACAUAAUAAAAAAUAAAUAGCAAUAAACAAAUUACGCGUGCACCUGCUGCAACUACAACCACCACCACCACCACCACUACUACUACUACUACUACUACUACUACUACUACUACUACUACUACUGCUACUGCUACUACUACUACUAACUGUCGUGCUACCAAAGCUGUCGCUUACUAUGCAAUACAACUCCUUCUUUGCCUGCCAUCAUACUUCAUAACUCUAAACACCAUCACCGAGCGCACACAUCCAUCUCCAUACACACACACACACACACCCCUUCCGAAAUUCAUAACUCCACCCUAUACGGCAUUCUCCAACAAACUCACUCAGCUAUCACCACCACCACCACCACCACCACCAUUACCAUUACGCGUACUGCCGUCGAACUUAGCCGACCCCGCGUCUACCACUCCACCUCGCCUCACCACAUCAUUUCAUACUACUACUACAGCUAUUAGUAACUACUACUACUACUACUACUACUACUACUACUACUACUACUACUACUACUACUAUUACAACUGAAUAAUAAUAAUUAUAAUUGUAACUGAUUUCUCUUAUUUACCACAGGGUUAAAUAAUAAUAAUAAAAAUAUUAUUAUUAUUAUUAUUAUUAUUAUUAUUAUAGCAAUAACCCAAAUAAUCUACUACAGCUACUAAGCUACUAGUAGAUACUACUACUACUACUACUACUACUACUACUACUACUAGUGGGUAAUAAUUAUAGCCGUGAUUCCUUUCAUUUGCCACGGGGGCAAAUAAAUAUAAUAAUAAUAAUAAUAAUAAUAGUAAUAAUAAUAGUAGUAGUAAUAUUAAUAAUAAUAAUAGUAGUAGUAGUAGUAGUAAUAAUAAUAAUAAUAAUAAUAAUAAUAAUAAUAAUAAUAAUAAUAAUAAUAAUAAUAAUAAUAAUAAUGGUAUUCUACUACAGCUAUUUGUAAUAGUAGGUUUACUAGUAUUUAUAUUACCACUACUACUACUACUGCAGAUACUAAGCAGCUACUGCAUGUAGCAGUCAGUACUGCUACAACUACCAUUGGUACUAUCACUGCCAUUACUACUACCACUACUACUACUACUACUACCACCACCACCACUACAACUAUUACUACUACUACUACUAUAUACUGCAUUAAUUAUAGUGCGUCUAUCGACAAAGUAAGUAAAAACAAUGCCCAUGUAUUUCAGUUGCUAACACACAUACAUGCAUACAUACACACGUAUACACACAUAUGCACACAUAUAUGUACACACAAAUACGAACUCACACACAUGCAAGCAUGCAUAUGCACACAUAUACAUACACACGCACGCACAUGUCGGUGGAUCUUGUGAAUGCAUCCACAUGUCUCGAGCGUGUUCGUUUUUAAAUCUCUGACGACUCGAACCAAGGGGAAAAAACGUAAGCACCCACAACCAGGCCGAAACCGCGUCGCGCCGCACCGCACCGCACCUUAUACUUAUACCAUUCACGUUUGUCAAGUCGGCUACCCUCAACCACCCGUGUACCUCGAACUACGACCACCCAGGUACUAACUUACACCCAGCCAAUCCGCACACCUAUUCAUCCUUGCAACCGCAAACCACCCACCCCCUACUGACAACAACAACAACAUCAAUAACGGCAACACAAGCAGUUGAAUCGCUACCAUCGACAGUACGCGCAUUGGGAGACGAAUAAGGAGUCACUCCCCACCCCCACACACUAUUACACAUACAUACAUACAUACAUACUUACUUACAUACAUACACACGCGCACACAUAAAUAUAUACAUAUAUAUAUAUAUAUAUAUAUAUAUAUAUAUAUAUAUAUAUACAUAUAUAUAUAUAUACAUACAUACAUAUAUAUAUAUAUACAUAUAUAUAUAUUUAAAGGCUAAAACAAUGCGAAGCGCAUUGUGACCGGCGAUGUGUAGCAACAUCUGAUAGCCUAGUCGGUCACGGUGAUACAUAUAUAUAUAUAUAUAUAUAUAUACACACAAACAUACAUACAUACAUACAUAUAUAUAUAUAUAUAUAUAUAUAUAUAUAUAUAGGCAAUAGUUUUGAUGCACGAACAAUACUAAAAAUUAUACAUACAUACAUACAUACAUACAUACAUACAUACAUACAUACAUACGUACGUGCGUACUGUACUUAUACACAUGCACAGAAGCAUAUAACCGCACGCGCAUAUGCAAUUACUGCUUCGUGAACUUAAAUGAUUUCCACCACCACCACCACCAACACAGCUGCCACGAAAGAGAAGGCCACCACCGCCGCCAGCUCCACCCACCGCCUCCGCCGCCGCCGCCGCCGCCAUCGUCAACACUACAUCACUUUAUCACUACCACCGCAACCACUACGACUACUGCCGCUAUUACUACAAAUAACAUAAACCAUCAGCAUUACGGUGACAUACCACUCCCUUUGCUUAAAACGAAGAGGAAAAAGAAAUUUUAUUUUUUUUAACAAAAUAAAUAACAAGGGUCGAGGAAUUCAUCAUAGAAACCGGAAGUCAUUAUUAUUAUCAUCAUCAUCAUCAUCAUCAUCAUCAUCAUCAUCAUCUUUAUUAUUAUCACCAUUAUUAUUAUUUAUUAUUAUUAUUAUUAUUAUUAUUAUUAUUAUUAUUAUAAGAAAAAAAAGAUGAAAUCGUCUCUGUGAAUCCAUUUCGCCAGAAUAACGCUAUUUCUUCUAUUAAUAUCAAUCUACCUUCUAUGAUUCCACCAGAUACAACACAUACGCCGUCGCCGCCAUCUUCGCCAUCAACGUCGUCGUCGUCAUCGUCGUCGUCGUCAUCAUCAUCAUCAUCAUCAUCAUUAUGAUUAUCACCACCAUGAUCAUCAUCAUCAUCACCACCAACAGGCAUUAUUAUUAAAAAAAAAAAAUUAACAACAACAACAACACAAGCAACAGCGACAUCAAUAUAGCCACACAACCGGCAAAUAUCACCGCCACAACAAACACACAACCACAACCGGUAAAAAAAAAAAAAAAAACAAUAACAACAACGACAACUACAACAACAAUAAUAACAGCAUUAACAAUAACAAUAACAAUAGUAAAUAACAGUAAGAAAACAACAGCCGCUGUAAUGUUCAUGUUUUUGCAUUGCUUUCUAUCGGUACCAUGAAAAAUUUAUCCGAGGAAUAUAACAAACUAGCGGAAGUCAACAAGCUCCAUCG